AUUGAACGCUGGCGGCAGGCCUAACACAUGCAAGUCGAACGGUAGCACAGAGAGCUUGCUCUCGGGUGACGAGUGGCGGACGGGUGAGUAACGUCUGGGAAACUGCCCGAUGGAGGGGGAUAACUACUGGAAACGGUAGCUAAUACCGCAUAACGUCGCAAGACCAAAGUGGGGGACCUUCGGGCCUCACACCAUCGGAUGUGCCCAGAUGGGAUUAGCUAGUAGGUGGGGUAAUGGCUCACCUAGGCGACGAUCCCUAGCUGGUCUGAGAGGAUGACCAGCCACACUGGAACUGAGAAACGGUCCAGACUCCUACGGGAGGCAGCAGUGGGGAACAUUGCACAAUGGGCGCAAGCCUGAUGCGGCCAUGCCGCGUGUAUGAAGAAGGCCUUCGGGUUGUAAAGUACUUUCAGCGGGGAGGAAGGCGGUGAAGUUAAUAACUUCACCGAUUGACGUUACCCGCAGAAGAAGCACCGGCUAACUCCGUGCCAGCCGCCGCCGUAA
This 504-nucleotide ribosomal RNA is filed under the name uncultured bacterium. RNAcentral's name for it is "partial 16S ribosomal RNA". It matches the Rfam family "Bacterial small subunit ribosomal RNA", at positions 30 to 523 of the family's 1533-position model. The record is from RNAcentral.